AUAUUAAAAGAUUUCAUUUAAAAGAUGAGGUUCCAAUUUUAACUUUAAAUAAUCACCUGGAUGAAAUCCAUUAUUUCAAUAUUGUCAAAAUUAUAAAUCUAUGGAACAAUCUUUCUUCUCUAACCCUAAAUCUGAGAAAACCUGUAAUAUAUAGUAUAAUACUUAUUGUGACUAUACCAAAAAUUAGGAUUGUUACAAUCAAGUAUUUUACUGUCUAUUAGUUUUUCUCUGAUUUAGAAUUAGACCAGUAAAGUUGUUAAAUUAUUAAAUCUAUGUAUUUUAAAUUUAUUUAUAUACGUAGUUUUGUUAAUACUAUGUAAAAUUUAAUUAUUGUAAGUUUGUUUAGACUUUUAAUAUUGCGUGUUGCGUCUCCUAAAUGAGAUAAAAACCAGUAUUUAUAUUAGCUGAAAUGUAAUCUAUUUUUUAACAGCACUGAAAAUGUAAAAAAAGUAAAAUUUUUAUAUAAAUUUAAAAACAAAUGUUUUUUAACAAACAUAAAUUUUAGGUUUAUAACUAACCACUUCUCGAAUAAUUUUGUUCAUUUUGCAAACAAAUGUUUGUAUGCGUUGAUCUUCGAGGAUAUUGUCGGAGUGCUAACUUUGCAAAUUUUUUCAUAAGUUUUCUUUCUGCUUCUUGAUAUUCUUUUUCUGUAAGACACUCGUCUGUUCUUGGAUCAAAAACCAAGGAUCCAAAAAACCUAAUAUAAAAUAGUGUGAGCAAAAAGUAGUAACUGAAAUGAACAGCCUAAUAGAGUUUGAUAAAUUUGACUCAGCACUUGAUAAUGUUUCAUCAAGUAACUCUGUAGUAACUCUGCAGUUGUAAAUUGCUAAAUACUGAUUUGUCAAAUUUUUUCUUUUUUAAAAAUUUUCUUUUAAAAUAUAUAAUUUUUACUACUUAAUUAGGAAUUGUCAGGUUUUCCAUAAUUUCUUUCUAUUAGUAACAAAGAGUUCAAAAUAUUGGUAGUAAGAAUUGUCAAAAAUGUGUAGCUAUGAUGUGGUAAUUGUGGUAAAUGUGGUAAAAUGUGGUAAAGAAUUGUCAAAAAUGUGGUAGCUAUGAUGAAGAGUUUUAUGACAAAUUCAUUCAUGAUCAAAUUUAAUAUGGCAGCUGGAAAAAACAAAGGAUUGUUUUAGUCUAACCAAGCUAUACAACUUAAUAAAAAUUUGUGCAUCGACUGCUCACUAAUCAUAAACAGAGUCGAUUGUCGAUGCAAUAAUUACUGAUUCGUUAAAGCUGGCAACUUCUACUUGUGCUAAAGUACCUUAAAUCAAACAGAUAUCAUUGUUACGAUAUUAAUUUGUUUGUAAAUUGUUUUAGA
Long non-coding RNA from Hydra vulgaris (swiftwater hydra), 1315 nucleotides. RefSeq lists it as uncharacterized. Lineage: Eukaryota; Metazoa; Cnidaria; Hydrozoa; Anthoathecata; Hydridae. The record is from RefSeq and is a predicted model, not a curated record.